GAGGGUAUAGCUCAAAUGGUAUAGCACAUGCUUUGCAUGCAUCAGGUCCUGGGUUCAAUCCCCAGUACUUCCU
This 73-nucleotide transfer RNA is filed under the name Camelus ferus (Wild Bactrian camel). It matches the Rfam family "tRNA". Rfam says of the family: Transfer RNA (tRNA) molecules are approximately 80 nucleotides in length. Lineage: Eukaryota; Metazoa; Chordata; Mammalia; Artiodactyla; Camelidae. The record is from Rfam by way of RNAcentral.